This 279-nucleotide long non-coding RNA is filed under the name Elaeis guineensis (African oil palm). RNAcentral's name for it is "long non-coding RNA (EGUI_LNC039563)". The record is from RNAcentral. Lineage: Eukaryota; Viridiplantae; Streptophyta; Magnoliopsida; Arecales; Arecaceae.
GUCAUAGGAGAAAAGUAGGGUUUAAAGGCCCUCUCUUCCCAUUCGAUGGGGUCUCCUAUGACGGUAGGGGUGUCGAUGCAAUUAUAUCCCAUACCGAUGAAGCAGCGAAAUGACUUAAUUAUAAAAUUUAUCAUGAAUGUGUUAGAUUAGAUCUAAAAGAAAAUUCAUAAUUUAUUUUGAGUUAUUUUCUGUUAUGAAAUGAGCAAUAGAAUUGCUGUUUAUGAAUUGUGCUGACCCGUUUGUGAAAUGAGUCAACACAUUUGGUGAACAGAAAAUAAA